RNAcentral lists this long non-coding RNA (561 nucleotides) under Homo sapiens (human). Its description in RNAcentral is "non-protein coding lnc-MPDZ-9:1". The record is from RNAcentral. Lineage: Eukaryota; Metazoa; Chordata; Mammalia; Primates; Hominidae.
ACACUCCUUCUGGGACUUCAGACAUCACAGGCAUGGUAAAAACUCUAAUUCUUUAUGCACUGUGGAUAAAAGUAAAUAACUACCUAAGGUAGAUGUAAGAAUGCCAAUAUUCACAUUUCUGGUAUGUCUUAUAACGUCUUCUAACAUUUUCUAUGUGUUAAAAUAUUCCAUGUGCUGUUGAAUAGAAUAUAUAUUCUGCAGUUGUAAAAAAUAAGAGAAAAGAAAUUACUAAAAUCAAAGCAGAACUGAAUGAAUUUGAUAUCCCCAAAUCCAUACAAAGGAUCAGCAAACCCAAAACUUGGUGCUUUGAAAGAAUAAAUAAGAUCUGUAGACCACUAAUCAGAUUACCAAAGAAAGAAGAAGAGAAGAUCCAAAUAAACACAAUCCGAAAUGACAAAGAUGGCAUUACAACUUAUCCUACAGAAAUAUAAAAGAUCCUCAGAGACUACUAUAAACAUAUCUAUGCACACAAACUGGAAAAUUUAGAGGAAAUGAAUAUAUUCCUAGAAACACACAACCUCCCAAGAUUGAAUGAGAAAGAAAUUGAAACUCUGAAGAGAC